GACGGAGGUGGCAAACGCUGUUCGGAAUCACUGGGCUUAAAGGGCGUGUAGGCGGCCGAUCAAGUCGGGUGUGAAAUCCCUCGGCUCAACCGAGGAACUGCAUUCGAUACUGGUCAGCUAGAGUGCGAGAGGGGUGAGUGGAACUCCAGGUGUAGCGGUGAAAUGCGUAGAUAUCUGGAGGAACGCCGGUGGCGAAAGCGACUCACUGGCUCGCAACUGACGCUGAGGCGCGAAAGCUAGGGGAGCGAACGGG
RNAcentral lists this ribosomal RNA (253 nucleotides) under uncultured bacterium. Its description in RNAcentral is "partial 16S ribosomal RNA". It matches the Rfam family "Bacterial small subunit ribosomal RNA", at positions 524 to 776 of the family's 1533-position model. The record is from RNAcentral.